Molecule: ribosomal RNA, 244 nt
Filed under: uncultured bacterium
Lineage: Bacteria
Description: partial 16S ribosomal RNA
Rfam family: Bacterial small subunit ribosomal RNA
Source: RNAcentral
CGGGUGAGUAACACGUGGGUGACCUGCCUUCGAGUGGGGGAUAACGUCCCGAAAGGGACGCUAAUACCGCAUAACAUCCCGCCUUUUAAGAGGUGGAAAUCAAAGCCGGGGAUCGCAAUACCUGGCGCUUGAAGAGGGGCCCGCGUCCGAUUAGCUAGUUGGUGGGGUAAUGGCUCACCAAGGCUACGAUCGGUAGCCGGCCUGAGAGGGCGGACGGCCACACUGGGACUGAGACACGGCCCAG